GGAAGUAAAAGCGUAACAAGGUUUCCGUAGGUGAACCUGCGGAAGGAUCAUUCAUAAUAAGUGUUUUAUGGCACUUUUUUAAAUCCAUAUCCACCUUGUGUGCAAUGUCAGGGUUGGUCUCUUUUGAUCAGCCCCAAACAUCAACUAUUAUCUCAACUCUUUGUCUGAAAAAUAUUAUGAAUAAAACAAUUCAAAAUACAACUUUCAACAACGGAUCUCUUGGCUCUC
RNAcentral lists this unclassified non-coding RNA (228 nucleotides) under plant metagenome. Its description in RNAcentral is "partial contains small subunit ribosomal RNA, internal transcribed spacer 1, and 5.8S ribosomal RNA". The stretch from base 1 to 53 matches the Rfam family "Eukaryotic small subunit ribosomal RNA", at positions 1778 to 1831 of the family's 1831-position model. The record is from RNAcentral.